UGAUCCUGUCUGAUGACGUGAUCCUGAUACGACCUUCUUGCAAGUAAUAUCCUCCACAGCAGUCGCGAAAUGUACAUUAUCUUUUCAAAACUUGAAAAGCAGUCUAAUGGUGGAAGUGAAACAACUUUGUAAAAAACAAUUUUAUUCUAUUAUUUGUAGGAAGAAUAAAACAAAAUAACCAAAAAAAAAUGCUGCUCAAAGGGGGGGUUGCAACCCCAUCAACCCCUCCCCUGGAUCCGCCUCUGAAUAAGAGCAUUCAACAUCCAGCUAUUCCCCAACCCUCUAGACAUUCCAUGUUAGCUUACAUACACUAGAUAGACAAAUUCUAUUAUUCUUGCUGACCAAAAGAAUCUGGGGCUCCAUUCCCGGCUUUAACCGGGAAACAGUGUCGCAAAAAGUGCCUUCCCUUUGUCUCUUACUUUUGUCUAGAUCUGGAAACGUUGCAUAGCCAAGGAGAAGAUUUUAUUUCCUGGCAACAUGGGUCAACUUUGUACCUCGCUAUGUCUUUGCUUGGCAGUGCAGGAAUCAAACGCUAUGGGACAGUGAACUUGGAGCAUAAUGCGGCGGGAUGCAGAUAGCGCUGUGGAGGACGCUUGUACUCUUAGCAACGACAGCAAUCAUCUAAACUUGGAUGUACAAGGACACUGAAGGGAAAUGGUACGAAUCAAUAAUGAACCCUGAUCAGCUGUUUAAAUCAAGCAGGAAUAAUGCACUGGACAGUAGGUUCUCGGCGUCAAUACCCACCAAAGUGCAUCACUUGUAUUCCUCUUCUAAGGCGCCAUUUGUCAACAACGGCGUCGAUCUUUUAAGUCUAACAGAUACAAACUUAGAGGAUGAAUUUGGCCAAUCCUAUAGUAGCAUAGGCCUAGAAGUGAGGACUCUGAGGAAGGCUCUCAAUUUACCAGUAGAUACCUUACCAAAGACUUGUGGUCUGACAUCAAACCAUUGGCCAAAUGAGCAUGCAAGCAGGACAAGCCAGAUGUUCCUUACUGAUAGUGGGUACUCAUCAAAAACGAAUCCUCAAAGUGAUGAGGCAGUGCAAAGUGUUACAGCAUCAAGAAAUGGUAAUGCUGCCAAUUAUUCAGCUGCCUUGGGAUUAGAAAGUCCUUUUGAUGUAAAAUCUAGCCCUGUGAGUAUGGAGUUAAACUCCAAGGAACAUCACCAGAAUUCUUCAAAGAUGUAUGAAAGGAGUCUAAAAAGUUCCCUUGAUGAGAGUGAAACUAAACGAAUGUUGCUGUUGGAAAAACUCAGAGAAGCUCACCUGGCAAUACAGAACCAAGCAGAAAAACUGGCAGCAACUGAGAGUGAGAUCUGCUUCUUGCGGGGACAGCUGAAGAGCAUGGGUAUAGAACUGGAGGGACUGCAGCAAGAGCUCGAUAGUUUGACAAUGGAAAAGAAGCGCCUUGAAGUUUUUAAAUCAGAAAAUUUAAAGAAUCGUGAAGCAAUCCUAAUAAGGGUGGAUGAUUUGGAUAAGGAGUUAAAAGUUCUAACUGCAACACACAAUGCCUUGAAACUUGAGGCAUCAAAGAAGGGAGCUACAUUAGAGGAAACAACGUUUUAUCUGACUACUCUUAAACAGGACAAUGACAAACUUCAGGAGGUUAACAAUGGUCUUGAGAAAGAGUUAUCUUCUCUAAGGGACAUUGUAUACCAACAUAGCAAGUCCAAUACGAAGACAGAGUUACUAAAUAAGGACUAUAAGAAAAUUCUUCAAGAAAAUGCAGUUAUUAAACAUCAGUUGUCAGAAGGUGUUAAAGCCACUGAAGAGUUAAAGAGGAAACAGGAUGAAAUGGGUCAAGAAAUUAUACAACUGAGAAUGGAGCGAGACAUCCAGUAUGGGAAAGUGAGUGUUCUGGAAGAGGAAAUCCUUCAUCGACAGCGGAACUACAACAACCUUGUAAACGAACAGGAAAGGUUACUGAAAGAAAAAGCAGAGCAGGACCAUAGGCUACAAAGGGAAAUUCAGGAUAGACUUUGCCUGAAAAUGGUUAACGAUCUCCUUAGAGAAGAGUCAUCAAAUGUUAAGGAAGCAUUUCAGAAGCUUGAAGAGUUCACUAAUUCUGUGGAGCAAAGAUCAAAAGAUAUGAGCCUGGAACUGGAUCAGUGUAGACCUGAAAACCCAACAGGCAACAUUGAAGAGGUGGUAAAUGAGAAAAGUCAGAAUGGAAGGCUUCUGUUGAAGAUUGAAAGUGCUGAAAGCCAUUGUGAAAACUUAAGAAGCCAAGUUGCAUCUCUCCAAGAAACCAACAGAAUAUUGAACAAGGAAACAGAAGAAAAAGAGAAACAACUACAGUUGAUGAAGAUGCGAGAAGAGACGUUAACUAAACUGCAAGUGUCCAAGUGUAAAGAGCUAAAAACAGAAAAUGAAACCUUGAAACACAGUUUAACCAUGAUCAGUAAAAAGAAUGAGGAACUUCAGAAACAGCUGGAGCAUCAAAAAGAAGAAAUGGAGCUGCUUAAGAAUCAGUUGAAAGAUUUAUCAGCUUCAGCUGCUGAAAGUAACGGUGAUCAAAGUGCUAGCAUUCAUUUCUUGCAAGAGGAGGUGGACAAAAUUAAGGAAACUGUAACAAGGUUAGAAUCUGAGAAAACUGUACUGAUAUCUGAACUGAACAAGCUGUGCAAAGAAAAGGAAGUGUGGGCUAUCCAACGGAGUGAACUGGAAAUGACACAAGCAGAGCUCAGUUCAGAAAACACUCAACUUAGAAGUGAAUUAAACAGCAAGCUUGCUGUGAAAAAUACAGAAAAUCAGAGCAUAGCCAGUGUCAAAAAGAAACUGGAACUAGAGAAAGAAGAGGCAGUAAAGAAGGUCAAGGACGAAAUGAAGGAACCUUUUGAUGAAGUUUGUCUUGAACUGAAGACUGUCAAGUCAGAACUCAGUAAAGUAUGGGACAUGCUUGAAAUCAAGGAGAAAGAGCUUGAGGAGCAGUCACAGGAGUUACAGCAUGAACGUGAACAGUCACAGACAUGGGCUGAGGAGUUAAUGAAGUUACGCAAAGAUUAUGCCGACCUCACUGCAAACACAUCUAGCAGAAGCCAAAUGAUUUCCACUCUUAGAGAUGAGUUAACACAGAGGUGCGACGAGAUCAUUGAGCUUGAAGCUGCACUUUCCUCUUUAAACCAGCAGAAAUGUAACUCCCUGAAGACAUCAACAGUCAAGAACAAAACCCACGAGCUAAAAAGAAGGAGCUCUGAUGGCGAUAUUAACAAGAUUCGCGAGUAUCCAGGAAAUUCCCACUCAAAGUGUAGUGAGGUCAGCAAGCUGACGGCUAGAAAUGCUCAUCUUAGUAGAAGAGUGGAUGAGUUAACAGUCGAGAGGGACUCGGCUCUACAAGACUCCCAAGACCUACUGAGUGGAAUGCAGCAACUGAGGGAGGCCUUUGAAGAAGAGAUUGAGAGAGAGCUGGAAAGGGAAAGAACCAAGUUUGAAAAGGAAAACCAUUUGUUACAAGCGCAGAGUGGAGAUGGUCAACAAUUGUCUGGAGCAAAGCCCAAACUCGAAAUGGAAGUCACCCGAUUAACAGCUCAGAAGGUUGCACUUGAAGUUAAAAGUAAAAAUCUGGAAUGUGAACGAGAUGAACUUCGUAACCAGGUGGAAGAGCUGUGUAGAAUGAGGACAGCAGCUGAAGAAAAAGCUGUACAGGUUGAUUCGGCUUUGAGUCCAAGGAGAAGAGAAAACAAAACGUCUUUGCGAAUGAGGAGCAAGAGUGUUGGUAUGAUGUCACCUUCUAUCCAAGAGAUGCCCAAUAGAUUGUUUCAACGUGUCUAAGGAGAGGUCAAGUGAAUGUUACCAUUGGCAUGCGCAAUUCUAAAUCUCCGCUAAGAACUAAGUUCACUGACAGAUGCGCAGCUGAAAACAUGACUGGAAGGCUGUCAGCAUCAACACCGAGACAUUAGAGAGUCCAGUAAGCCGCCUGAGCUGAUAAAUACGAGAAACAUGAUGUCCCAGUUAUUCGGUUCAGAAGCAAAGGAUAAUUCAAAACCAGAGGGGUGACUGACCAGUUGUAUACAGCGAUCUUCGACAUCUUAACUUUCGCAAACCAGCUAUGUCGCUUAAAAUACGUUAUCAGAAUUCUUAAGAUUCCCCGUGUGAUGAACUGUUUCCUUUACCUUAACCCUUGAGCCUGAUGUUGCAAAUUCGUAUAGUAAUUUGAAACUCGCUGAUACAUUGACCAAUGCGCUUCUAAUGUUGCAGUUCAAUGAUUAAGGAAGUAGAACCAAAGAACUUUUACGGGUACUUAAACCGCAUUGUUUUCGUAAAUAGUGUUCGUAAUAUACUUGACUGGUAAAGUUAAUUCUAUGAAUCUAUAUAUUAAAGUGCACCUAACCUCCAAUUUUUUUUCCGCUAAAACAAACCUACUUGUAAUUUGAAAUACUCCUGUGAGUUUUGAAUUCGAUUAAAUCCUCGAUUUUUUGUGCUCCGACGAAAUCUCAAAAUCAUGGAGGCAAGGUGCACUUAGCUUUACUGCAAAUUACCGACGAUAGCCGACAUUUUAUGCUACUCCAAGCUGGGUCACAACCUUGUUUAAGCCUUCCUUCUUAGUUCUUAUUACAGAAAUUUAAACCUUCUAGGAAAGUAUGGGAAAU
Molecule: unclassified non-coding RNA, 4584 nt
Filed under: Orbicella faveolata
Lineage: Eukaryota; Metazoa; Cnidaria; Anthozoa; Scleractinia; Merulinidae
Description: mAR-binding filament-like protein 1-1, transcript variant X5
Source: RNAcentral